This 253-nucleotide ribosomal RNA is filed under the name uncultured bacterium. RNAcentral describes it as "partial 16S ribosomal RNA". It matches the Rfam family "Bacterial small subunit ribosomal RNA", at positions 524 to 776 of the family's 1533-position model. The record is from RNAcentral.
UACAGAGGGUGCAAGCGUUAAUCGGAGUUACUGGGCGUAAAGGGCGCGUAGGCGGUUGUGUGAGUGUGAUGUGAAAGCCCUGGGCUUAACCUAGGAAGUGCAUCGCAAACGACAUAACUGGAGUAGAAGAGAGGGUGGCGGAAUUUCCGGUGUAGCGGUGAAAUGCGUAGAGAUCGGAAGGAACGUCAAUGGCGAAGGCAGCCACCUGGCUUCAUACUGACGCUGAGGCGCGAAAGCGUGGGGAUCGAACAGG